GACGAACGCUGGCGGCGCGCUUAACACAUGCAAGUCGAACGGAAAGGCCUGCUUUCCCUUGUGGAUUGCGGGUACUCGAGUGGCGAACGGGUGAGUAACACGUGAGUGAUCUGCCCCCAACUUGGGUAUAAGCCUGGGAAACUGGGUCUAAUUCCCGAUAGGACUGCAGGGUGGUGCCUGUGGUGGAAAACGAUUUUCUAGUGGUUGGGGAUGAGCUCGCGGCCUAUCAGCUUGUUGGUGGGGUAAUGGCCUACCAAGGCGGCGACGGGUAGCCGGCCUGGGAGGGUGGACGGCCACAUUGGGACUGAGAUACGGCCCAGACUCCUACGGGAGGCAGCAGUGGGGAAUAUUGCACAAUGGGCGGAAGCCUGAUGCAGCGACGCCGCGUGGGGGAUGACGGCCUUCGGGUUGUAAACUCCUUUCGACCGCGAGGAAGCCACCUGGUUGGAAGGGUGGUGACGGUAGUGGUAGAAGAAGCACCGGCGAACUACGU
This 493-nucleotide ribosomal RNA is filed under the name uncultured bacterium. RNAcentral describes it as "partial 16S ribosomal RNA". It matches the Rfam family "Bacterial small subunit ribosomal RNA", at positions 28 to 506 of the family's 1533-position model. The record is from RNAcentral.